UACGAAGGGGGCUAGCGUUGGUUCGGAAUUACUGGGCGUAAAGCGCACGUAGGCGGACUUUUAAGUCAGGGGUGAAAUCCCGGGGCUCAACCUCGGAACUGCCUUGAUACUGGAAGUCUUGAGUAUGGAAGAGGUAAGUGGAAUUGCGAGUGUAGAGGUGAAUUCGUAGAUAUUCGCAGGAACACCAGUGGCGAAGGCGGCUUACUGGUCCAUUACUGACGCUGAGGUGCGAAAGCGUGGGGAGCAACAGG
This 251-nucleotide ribosomal RNA is filed under the name uncultured bacterium. Its description in RNAcentral is "partial 16S ribosomal RNA". It matches the Rfam family "Bacterial small subunit ribosomal RNA", at positions 524 to 775 of the family's 1533-position model. The record is from RNAcentral.